This 709-nucleotide ribosomal RNA is filed under the name uncultured bacterium. RNAcentral's name for it is "bacterial SSU rRNA". It matches the Rfam family "Bacterial small subunit ribosomal RNA", at positions 94 to 801 of the family's 1533-position model. The record is from RNAcentral.
AGUGGCGCACGGGUGAGUAACGCGUAUGCAACCUGCCUUUAACAGAGGGAUAGCCCAUAGAAAUGUGGAUUAAUACCUCAUAGUUCUUUUGUUCCGCAUGGGACAAAAGAUAAAGCUCCGGCGGUUAAAGAUGGGCAUGCGUGACAUUAGUUAGUUGGUGAGGUAACGGCUCACCAAGACUACGAUGUCUAGGGGUUCUGAGAGGAUGAUCCCCCACACUGGUACUGAGACACGGACCAGACUCCUACGGGAGGCAGCAGUGAGGAAUAUUGGUCAAUGGGCGCAAGCCUGAACCAGCCAUCCCGCGUGCAGGAUGACGGCCCUAUGGGUUGUAAACUGCUUUUAUACACCAAGAAAAAUCCCCACGUGUGGGGACCCGACGGUAGUGUAUGAAUAAGCAUCGGCUAACUCCGUGCCAGCAGCCGCGGUAAUACGGAGGAUGCGAGCGUUAUCCGGAUUCAUUGGGUUUAAAGGGUGCGUAGGCGGCUUUUUAAGUCAGUGGUGAAAUCCUGCCGCUUAACGGUAGAAUUGCCAUUGAUACUGAAGAGCUUGAGUACAAUUGAGGUAAGCGGAAUGUGUAGUGUAGCGGUGAAAUGCUUAGAUAUUACACAGAACACCGAUUGCGAAGGCAGCUUACUAAACUGUCACUGACGCUGAUGCACGAAAGCGUGGGGAGCGAACAGGAUUAGAUACCCUGGUAGUCCACGCC